Molecule: long non-coding RNA, 1185 nt
Filed under: Drosophila guanche
Lineage: Eukaryota; Metazoa; Arthropoda; Insecta; Diptera; Drosophilidae
Source: RNAcentral
ACCACAAAGGCAGCCGUAAAGUGGAGCGCACGCGGCAUCAAAAAAGAUCAAAAAAUUACGAGACCAUUCCAUGGAUAAUAUUUUCUAAUUUCUAAUCAAAUUACUGAUUUUAAGCUAUUUCUGAUGUAACAGUAUUAGUACAGUGCUGCGUAUAAGUCCGUUCAAAUAAUGCAAUAGUUUCAGCAAUUUUCACGGAAACUUCAUUAUUUUUAGGAGUAAUUCAAUAAUUCUCUCGCAAUUGCCGAGUAUUAAGUGCGGCUUAUCAGUUCAAGAUUUCCAAGUUGUUCACAAAUAAUUUCCGAUUUGUAACACUAUAAUUCUCUUCUCAACUACAUAUAGAGUGUUUUCCUUAUCAAUUGAAUUCCUUCUCCGCUUAUCAAAUCUUUCAAGCGAGUUUAGUGCUGUUCGGUUUGAUUUUGAAUUUGUUUUUUUGGGGAACCUAUAAAAAAGUGAUCUUCUCGGAAAUUUCGAAAUCCUUAUCAGUAGAACAUUUUACAAAAACUGUCUUUGGCUUCCAAACGAAUACAAAAAUAUAUAUAUACUAGUCGAUUAUUUGACAAGACAAAAACAUUGAGCUCGAACAUGACAUAAGCGGUUAGCUGAUAAUUUACUUCUAAGGGAUCAUUUAUAAUUCGAAUUAAAUGUAUUCGCUAUUUUUAGUCUUGGCCCGGAGCCCUUUCCAAUGUAAUUUAUAAAUUGCUGUUGUGCCAAUAAAGUGAGGAACCCUCGCACCCCUUGAACCCAAAACUCUUGAACCUAACCAACCAACCAACAUCAUCUUUCCUCAUUCAAAGAUGCUUCGUUUCCCUUUUUUGCUGUUAAUCAUUUUUGGGUGCAAAAACCCGAAAAAAUUAAUUUCUGUUAAAGAGUUCAUCGAAAGGCAAGCAACAGGAAAAGGAGAGAAAAAGGGAUGAUGAUGCUGGGGAGGGGUUCACGGUGGUAAAGAUCUCGUAAAGAUCAAAGAUGCUCGACCAUUUGGUAGAAAAUCCCCUAGAAGUGUGUUCUUUUCUUCAUCCUUUUUUUAGGGUAAAUCUUUGAACUUUCUUUUAUUAAUUGUUGGUGACAUGGCGAGGAGGUUCAAAAGGUGACAAGCUGUUUUUGGUCCAGUUAAAGUGCUGGACAUUUGACCGUUGGAACUGGAGUAAAACAACGAUUUCCAUGGGAAUCAGCUAUGGGAAAAGUUUC